GAUGAACGCUGGCGGCGUGCCUAAUACAUGCAAGUCGAGCGAACAGACGAGGAGCUUGCUCCUCUGACGUUAGCGGCGGACGGGUGAGUAACACGUGGAUAACCUACCUAUAAGACUGGGAUAACUUCGGGAAACCGGAGCUAAUACCGGAUAAUAUAUUGAACCGCAUGGUUCAAUAGUGAAAGACGGUUUUGCUGUCACUUAUAGAUGGAUCCGCGCCGCAUUAGCUAGUUGGUAAGGUAACGGCUUACCAAGGCAACGAUGCGUAGCCGACCUGAGAGGGUAUCGGCCACACUGGAACUGAGACACGGUCCAGACUCCUACGGGAGGCAGCAGUAGGGAAUCUUCCGCAAUGGGCGAAAGCUUGACGGAGCAACGCCGCGUGAGUGAUGAAGGUCUUCGGAUCGUAAAACUCUGUUAUUAGGGAAGAACAAAUGUGUAAGUAACUAUGCACGUCUUGACGGUACCUAAUCAGAAAGCCACGGCUAACUACGUG
RNAcentral lists this ribosomal RNA (496 nucleotides) under uncultured bacterium. RNAcentral describes it as "partial 16S ribosomal RNA". It matches the Rfam family "Bacterial small subunit ribosomal RNA", at positions 28 to 507 of the family's 1533-position model. The record is from RNAcentral.